This 440-nucleotide ribosomal RNA is filed under the name uncultured bacterium. Its description in RNAcentral is "partial 16S ribosomal RNA". It matches the Rfam family "Bacterial small subunit ribosomal RNA", at positions 338 to 795 of the family's 1533-position model. The record is from RNAcentral.
CCUACGGGGGGCAGCAGUGGGGGAUAUUGCACAAUGGGGGGAACCCUGAUGCAGCGACGCCGCGUGGGUGAAGAAGGGCCUCGGCGCGGAAAGCCCUGUCAGCAGGGAAGAAAAUGACGGUACCUGAAGAAGAAGCCCCGGCUAACUACGUGCCAGCAGCCGCGGUAAGACGUAGGGGGCAAGCGUUAUCCGGAUUUACUGGGUGUAAAGGGGGCGGAGACGGGGCUGAAAGCCAGGAGUGAAAGCCCGGGGCCCAACCCCGGGACGGCUCUUGGAACUGCGUGGCUGGAGUGCAGGAGGGGCCGGCGGCAUUCCUGGUGUAGCGGUGUAAUGCUUAGAUAUCAGGCGGAACACCGGUGGCGACGGCGGCCUGCUGGACUGCAACUGACGUUGAGGCCCGCAAGCGUGGGGAGCAAACAGGAUUAGAUACCCUAGUAGUC